This 403-nucleotide ribosomal RNA is filed under the name uncultured prokaryote. Its description in RNAcentral is "bacterial SSU rRNA". It matches the Rfam family "Bacterial small subunit ribosomal RNA", at positions 355 to 774 of the family's 1533-position model. The record is from RNAcentral.
CUAAGAAUAUUCCGCAAUGGGCGAAAGCCUGAAGCAGCAACGCCGCGUGUGCGAUGAAGGCCUUCGGGUUGUAAAGCACUUUUUGAGGGGAUGAGGAAGGACAGUACCCUCAGAAUAAGCCUCGGCUAACUACGUGCCAGCAGCCGCGGUAACACGUAGGAGGCGAGCGUUAUCCGGAUUUACUGGGUGUAAAGCGCGUGCAGGCGGUUCAGAAAGUUGGAUGUGAAAGCUCCUGGCUUAACUGGGAGAGGUCGUUCAAUACUUCUGGACUCGAGAGUGGGAGAGGGAGGUGGAAUUCCGGGUGUAGUGGUGAAAUGCGUAGAUAUCCGGAGGAACACCAGUGGCGAAAGCGGCCUCCUGGCCCAUUUCUGACGCUCAGACGCGAAAGCUAGGGUAGCAAACG